RNAcentral lists this ribosomal RNA (492 nucleotides) under uncultured bacterium. RNAcentral describes it as "partial 16S ribosomal RNA". It matches the Rfam family "Bacterial small subunit ribosomal RNA", at positions 30 to 507 of the family's 1533-position model. The record is from RNAcentral.
AUUGAACGCUGGCGGUAGGCCUAACACAUGCAAGUCGAACGGCAGCACAGUAAGAGCUUGCUCUUACGGGUGGCGAGUGGCGGACGGGUGAGGAAUACAUCGGAAUCUACUUUUUCGUGGGGGAUAACGUAGGGAAACUUACGCUAAUACCGCAUACGACCUACGGGUGAAAGCAUGGGAUCUUCGGACCUUGCGCGAUUCAAUGAGCCGAUGUCGGAUUAGCUAGUUGGCGGGGUAAAGGCCCACCAAGGCGACGAUCCGUAGCUGGUCUGAGAGGAUGAUCAGCCACACUGGAACUGAGACACGGUCCAGACUCCUACGGGAGGCAGCAGUGGGGAAUAUUGGACAAUGGGCGCAAGCCUGAUCCAGCCAUACCGCGUGGGUGAAGAAGGCCUUCGGGUUGUAAAGCCCUUUUGUUGGGGAAGAAAAGCAGUAGGUUAAUACCUCGCUGUUCUGACGGUACCCAAAGAAUAAGCACCGGCUAACUUCGUG